UUGGGGCCGUUGGCGGGGCGGCGGCGGGGCUGCGGGGUCUGCGGGGUGCGGCUGCCGUGCGGGGUGGUCCGCGGCGGGACGCUGCUGAGGGGAGUGCUGAGCCUCUCCCGGCGCAGCCCUCCGCCGCCACCAGAAGGGGAACGGGGGAGAAAAGCAACCGGUGGAGAGCCGGGGCCGUGAGCUCUCCCUCGGAGCGAGGAGGGGUGUCCGUGGGGCAGCUCCCCAGCGCUGCCUGCCCCGCUGCUGUCCUCGCAGCCCUCGCUGGGCUCUGCGUUUGGAAAACGCACGGAAUAGGGAAUGGUAAAUCUGCACUCAGUCUACUGAAGACUUAGGGAGAGUGAAGUUAGGUGAGCAACUGCUGCCCCUCCGAGCAGUUCGGGCACACACACGCUGACAGAAGUCAUCUGUCCGAAAACCCCUCGCAAAUUUGGAAAGAUUUUCCCAGGCAUUUAUGAAACACGCUCAGUGACCUUGAGCACACAUUCCUGGAUCUGACAUAUUAGAGAAGAUGAAUAUUCAUUCGCCUAAAUGAUAUUUUCAUACAUGUUACUCAUUACUAUACGGUCAAUAAACAUUUUGAUACAAUGA
Molecule: long non-coding RNA, 588 nt
Organism: Numida meleagris (helmeted guineafowl)
Lineage: Eukaryota; Metazoa; Chordata; Aves; Galliformes; Numididae
Exons: 3
Source: RefSeq, a predicted model, not a curated record